AAAAUGUGACAUAUUAAGUCCUGCCAACUGCAAUGGAUUAUGGCAAAUAAAACAUCAGAGACUGCACUAUCUAAAUCCUCCAUUGCUUAUUCUAGAACAGCACCUCAUCUCACCCCACAUACCCUUUUCAGUGAUAGAUGUAAAAAUGUUUCUUUAAAACUGUCCAUAAUUGUGGAGGGCAGAUGCUUCAGUGUAGUGACACCAACAUAGGACGACAUCUGUUUCUCCAUGAUACAUGUACCAAACUUGUGCACAUUCAGCGAUUCCAGAGUAUAUUAUCAGCUACACCAGUCUCAUGAUCCAAGGAUGCAAACAUGUGGCCAUCUCUUAAAACAGCACUGAAAGUUUUUCUGAGAAAAUAUUUUUGUCAAAUUGUAUCUGACAGUACAACCACAAGAUGCAACUGGGUGAGGCUGAUAGCACGCAUGCACUUGUAUGGUUGCUUCCUCGUUCCAGUGCUGGGUGUUAAACUGUUCAUUGACAAAGGAUGAUUAAGAACAUGAAUAUCCACACAACUACAUAACAAUCCUCCAAAGUCUUCAGAAAGCUUGUUUCUGAGCAAUUCAGUUCAUCUAGCUCUCUCUGACAAUGGAACCACAAAAAUGAAUCCUGCUAAAACUGGCUAAGGCAUUGACAUGAGAGCUGCCAACUGUGGGUAUUCAACUGCACAAAGGAUGAGAGGAGCCUUGCCUGGAAAGCUGAGAGGAGCCAAGAGAAGAAAAGGCAGUAGCCACCCCCCUUUGCUGCUGAAGAGGAAGAACCAAGCCUUUCCCGCCCAACAAAUAAAUAAAUAAAUAGGCGGGGCAGCUGAAGGAAGCCUUGGACCCAUUUCCAUUGCUCCCUCCUUCCAAAAGCCUGCUUUGGGGGAGGCCAGGUCUCUACACUGUGGGUACACCAGGCUGUAACUCACAGCUCUCCUUCUCUGCCUUCAAAGCAGCCUCUCCAAACGUUUGCAGCCCUCUGGAAGCCACCUGCUGCAGGAUGCAUGCAACAUGCUGCCCAAGGAUCACACAGUGGGCAAAUUAUAACAUGGAACACCAAGAACAGCCAUGGUACUAGUUCAGGCUUUGCACACUUCCAGAUUAUGAAUGUGCAUGUCACUGGAAUCACAAGCUCUGCUUGUUAGUUCUCCACCAAAAAAACACUCAGCUUCAAAGUCAAAAUGGAUCACACUGGUUUACCUCUGGAUGAAUGGCAUGAGGGUCAUGUUAAGUGUUGGCUUGAGUCCAUUGGGAUUAAAAGGAUGUAUGUUGAAAAGCUCUGUGAAGAGGAAGUAACUGGCCCAGCACUCAAAAUAUUAGACGAUAAAUUCCUCAAGAGAAUGGGCAUGAAACAAGGCCAGAUCCACAUAUUAAUGCAGAAAAGAGAUCAGCUUUUGCAACAGGAUAGUGGGGCAGAUGUCACCAAAGAAGUUUAUGAAACCAUUAGGGAAAUGCCUGCAUUAGACCACAGCAAAACUAAUUCAUCAAGGAGGGAAAAACCAAAAGUCAGAGACACAGAUACAUCAACUGAAGAAGGUAAAAGUGACAGAGAGAAAGAGAAACACACAUCUGACAUUAAACCAGUUUCUUUGCUACAUAGAGAUUCAGAACCACAGUGCUCAAAUAAAGAAGUCAUGGCACACACAAGUGAUGUUCUGAGCAAAAUGGAAAGCACAAAGAAUACUUCUGUUCUGCAUGAUCGAGUACGCUUGAGCACGUUCAGGCCAUUCAGCACCAACAACACUAAUUUUAAAUAUGUUAGAAAUGCAGUCCUUUCUCCAGAAACGGGAGUCCUCAAUCUAAUCAGUCCUUGCCAUGAAUACAAGUCAUUUGAUACUGCUGCUCUGCUGGACAGACCACGGCUGCAAGCAAAAUUUGCCCGUGAAGUGAUAAAGUUUGCUUCUGCUUGCCUGAAUGUCCGAACAAAUGGCACUAUUCACUUUGGAGUGAUGGAUCGUGUUGAGAAAAAGGGCUGGACACAUGGACAAAUCAUUGGGAUACCAAUUAGAGAGACAGAAAUUUAUGUUGAUGCUUUAGAUUACAUAGGGAAAUGUUUUGAUGCAAAUGUUCAAGCUGCUGCAAGGCAAUGUAUUCACCCUCCAGUUUUCAUUGAAGUUAUUCAGACAGAUAGCCAUGAACAGUAUUUUGUAGUAGAAGUUGACAUUGAACCAUUAUCUGACAUUAUAAAAGGAAAGUUUUUUCAAGUACGUCUACCAAAUUUUAAUGAAAAAAGUAAUAAGGUAAACUUAGAAAAAGAUAAAAUUGCCUUCCAAAGAGCUGGUUCAAGCUCUGAACCAGUAACAAUUGAAAAUCUAGUGACGUUCAUUCAGGAUUUACAAGAAAGAGACAUUUGGAGGAAGAAAGCUGAAGAAUCCAGUCAUGAAAAUCAAACAGAUGUUCCGGAAAAUUUAGGGCGAAAAUUAUCUGUCUUGUUGACAGAUGGCAAAAGCUACUUGGACAGCUCUAUGUGGUACAUUCUUGUUACCAACAAAUGUGGAGAGGAAGACCUUAAAUCUAUUAACUUUUUGAGGCACAUUAACAUUUUCUGUGUGUUUGAUUUUGAUGAAGACUCCAAUGUGUCAGGUUUGUACUCCAACUACAAAAAAUACCAUGCAACCAGUCCUCAUUUUUUGCAAAAUUAUUCCAAUGACAACAAGAUGAGCACAACUGAAUUUCAAAAACAUCUGUGCCUAUUUGUUAAGAAAAGCUGGAUAUUUUGCAAUGGACGCAGUGACUUCCUUGGUAAUGAAAAAACUUGUGAUGAAAACACUUGGAUUAGAACAAAGAGAAAGUAUUUGAAAAAAGCAGUAUCUUUUAUCUGUGAUGACCUCCUCCCAAAGGGAUCUUUUCUGGUGCUCUUCUUACUAUUAUCACCUGUAGAGAAACCAAUUGUAGACACCUUCCAUGAAUUUUACAGUGAAAUGAAUGGCAUGGAUUUCAUAAUAUGCCUUUCAGAAUCUAGAGAAAACUAUGAGAAAUGGGCUAAUCUAGCACAGACAUCCUGCAGCAUUGAGACACUACAACAGCGGAGUAUUGUAGGCAUGAAGCUAAGCCAUGUGGAUGCUACCAUCCAAAGCAUGCUGCCCUCUACAACUAAUUGCAGACAUUUACCGGUUUCCACAAAGGGUCUGUGUGUACUUCCCCCACUGGAAGAAGAGAAAAUGUAUUCUCUUGAAAUAUUGUGUGCUGACCAAUGUGAUGAUAUCAAAUUAGAUUUUCUGAGUACAAGAGAAAUACAGAUGAUAGAUGAAACGUUUUAUAGGGGUAAAAAAGUCAGCUGGAAAAAUUUUUGGCUUGCUGAUAAAAGGAAGUGUGGGGAAAUUAUCGAAAGGGAAGCCUGUAAGGAGGUGUCUAGAAUGUUGAAUGAUUUUGUAUAUGGGAGUUUGUUCCGGUAUUCUGUUGCUAAACUUAAAGUGUUUCAUGAACCUGGGAGUGGAGGAAGUACCAUUGCAAGGCAAGUGCUGUGGAAGCAGAGAAAAGAUUUACGUUGUGCUGUCAUCAAAACCACAUAUCCAGUUACUACUGUCUGUCAGCAUGCAGUUGAGUUCCAAUGUUAUGAUGAAAAAGACCUCAAAAACUGUCUCCCAGUCCUCCUUUUGGUGGAAGAUUAUGAUGAAGAAUACCUUGAGGAAUUAAAUUGUGCUUUAACAGAUGCCAUGGGGUCUAACAAACGACGUUCUUCCAGGCCUUCUUUCAUCCUUUUGUGCUGUAAACGGUCCAAUGCCCCUGAUAAAUUUUGCAAAGCAUCCCCUCAGGAUACAGUGUCUGUUACUCACAAACUGACAGAUAAAGAGAAAAGCCUGUUCAGAACAAAGAUAGAAAAAUUUGAAAAUCAGAAGGAUUUUAAACUGGAAUACAUACUUACUUUUGUUCUCAUGAGUAAUGAGUUUGAAACAACAUACGUGAGAGAAUUUGUAGAACACUUGCUUAAAGAUAUAGACUUAACUUCCCGGGAAACUAGUUUAAUGAGAUAUGUUGCCCUACUCAAUUUCUAUGUACAUAAUUCAUACAUCUCUUUAUCUCACUGUGAGGCUUUCCUGGGACUUAUGCCAUAUGAAGAAAUGACAGUAAGGCAGUAUGAUUUCAUAAGUAACUUAAGUGAACAGGCACGGCUUAUUUUCAUUGAACUGAGAGAAACCACCACAUAUAUUUCAUCUAUUCGAAUAAUACACCACCUGGUGGCAAAAGAAAUACUGAAUCAGCUCUCAGGAAGUCAGACUCAGAGUGAAAUUGCCAUGGAAUUUCUCCAAGAGAAAGCGUUUCUUCAGCAUCGGUUUGGACGGGAAGAGUUUAUAAAAUUCAUCAGAGAUCUGUUCAUAAGGCGUGAUAAAAAGAGUAGAGGAGAUAACACUGACAGCCUUUUCUCCCCAUUCAUUGAGCAUGUCUGUAACACAGAAAACCCAGAAAAAGCCAUAGAGGUUUUAAAAUAUGCUUAUGAAUGCUUGGGAAAAGAUGCAUUCUUUGCACAACAACUUGCCAGAUUGCAUUAUGUUUAUGAAAAGUUUGAGGAUGCAAAACUCUGGGCAGAAGUAGCCAAAUCUCGUUUGCCAAAUGAUUCAUUUAUUUUAGACACAGAAGGGCAGGUGUAUAGGAAGUGGUUUAGCUUUAGGGUGGACAAAAAAUCAGAUGAAGACACUCCUGAAGAUACCAUUCAAAUUAUAGAAAUUGCCCUUAAGGCUAUGAAGUGCUUUAGAGCCACACAGCAGGCUGCAAAAUCUGAAAAGGAUACCAUGAAUAACUCAGGUUAUUUUGGAGAAGUAGAAGUGGGAUGUCGCCUACUGAAACUGCUAUCUACUCUUGAUGUAUUUCCUAAAGACACAAAAGGAGAGCAUCCUGAACUUGUCCAGUAUUUACUUACAGAUUACAUUCCAGAAGAUAUUAAAAAGCCAUGGGGAAAACUCCACAGCCGGUUAAAGGGCUUACGGCAAAAUAUUUACAAUGCUCUUGACUGGAUUUCAGAGGACUUAAGUUACUUCCAAACAGAUAAAAACCAAACAGAUGAUGAAGAUAAGAGAGAAGAACAAGUUUAUAACCCUAGAGGAUGGCUCAAAAGACAAUGUAAGGUUUAUGCAACAUUUUUUAGUUCUGAUACACUUGCUGAAGAAAAUGGUGCAGGAUCUAAUACCCAGUUGAUUAGACAAAUGAAUAUUUACAAACAUGGUGGUGGAAAUGUCACCACUAUUCUCUCAUUCCUUUCAGAUAAGAAUGAUAAGAAAUCCGUUCAAAGUCUGGAAAAAAUAAUAAGCUUAUAUUCAGAAGACCCACAGAGUCUAGAGGAUACAGACCUUAUAAAUUAUAUAUUGUGUCACUGUACUCUCGCUUGCCUGUCACCUGGUUCUUCCAAACUCCUUGACCUACGCACACUCCGAGAACUCAGCAAGAGGUUCUUUAAAAAGUGGAAAACUACUUUCCCUGCCAGUGCUCAUUUUUUGCUUACUUUACUUUACUGGCCUGAUGGUGCUUUGGAUAAAGUCUCUUCCUCAGAUAAAGAUGACAUCUUAAAGUCCGCCCUCGAUACCUUGAAGCGCUUGCAUGAUAUCAAAAUAAAGGAUGUUGCCCCAAGGAAGAAAAGAAUCUACACAAUCUUUUUCUUGGGCAAGGGCUAUGGCCUGGCAAAGAUUGUGCCCAGGACAAAGAUUGAUAAACUAAUGAAAGGCUCCCUGGAUGAGCGUCGAAAAAACUGGCAGAAUGGUCAAGUGUGGAAAAUAGAAGAAGUACACAAUAUCCUGGAAAGGGUAAAUGGAUGGACAGAAGAUGGCAGAGUUUUUGCAAUGGGGCACUCUGGACAGCUUCCAAUUCUGCCUCUGCAUUUUGAUUCAGUGCCGCCUGGGAAUGAAAAUGUAAAAUUUUAUCUUGGUUUCUCAUUUAAUGGACUUGUUGCCUAUGACAUUCGAGUGAAAAUGUAGAAAAUGUCCUAUCAGUACUGUAUUAAAUUGCAAACUACCCAAAGAAAUAAUGGGUUUGAUCCAGACCUGGUCAUAUUUAGUGUAGACUCACUGAAAUGCUGUCAGUUAAGACUAACACAAAUCUCCUUUAAUUCAGGGGGGUAAACCCCAAGCAUGAUCAAAUCUAGAUUCAAUCUAAUACAUUUUUUCUCUCUUCAAAAUUCAGAAAAAGUCAAUUCUGACUAUGAAACACAGCAUAUUACGGAAAAUGUUUUUAGAUAUUAAAUACAAUGGCAUCCACUGGAAUUUAGUUCCAGGAACACACAUACCUAUGGAUACCAAAAUCCAUGAAUGCUCAUGUCCCAUUGUAUACAAUGGCAUAUUAAAAUGGUGUCCCUUAUAUAAAAUGGUAAAAUCAAGGUUUGCUUUUUGUAAUUGAGGGUAUUUUCAAGCCAUGCAUGCAGAAUCCAUGGAUACGGAGAGUCAACUGUAGUUACGAGGACAGAAAAAAAUGUGAACCUCAUCAGUCAAGGUUUGUACAGAACUGAGCACUCCUACAACUACAGUUGCCCCUGUUUUCACAGCGCAGCGUGUGGACAGCGCAGUUCCAAACCACUUCCAGCCGGAGCAGACUCAGGCUGCUCUUUCAUGCCUCUUUGCUCCAGCCCUAGUUGUUCUAUCCCAAUAGGGCAUCUGUAUUAUGGUCUGUUUCCCUAAGUAUACUUAAAUAAGUUUGUAUUAUAUAGAGCUGUUAUCAACUGAUCAUUCAUGAUUCCUUAUAUCUGUGCUAGAUUGGCUGUCCCUUCCAGAGCUUAUCCCUAUCGUUUUGCUCACCUUACUUUUAGCUGCUUUCUGCUGUCUGGCCUUGUCCACUCAUCUUGCCAUUCAUUCUUCUAUAUUUUGGUCUUCCUUUUAAUUACUAGACUGAAGUUCAACAAUAAGGCUCACUUUUCCAUUCCCUCAAUGGUUAGAUGUGGUUGACUGUCUAGGGAGAUAUAUAGUUAAACAUAACAGAGGUUGAAGACAGAACAUCUGUAAGAAACUCCUGGUGGAAAAUGCAUAAACUUCAUGUAAAUGCUGUGUGGCUAUAUUCAUUUGCUUUUAUCAUUGGAUCAUAUCCACAGUCUGGUGGAUCAAGCUGUAUGUAAAAUAUGUAUAUUUUUGUACACAUUCUAUAGAUGGAUUGUGAUGAUUGGCUUUAAUUUCUUAUUGAUUAAUAUAUUUUUGUAUUUUAUUAUAUAUUAUAGAUGUUUCAGCUGCAUAGUUGAAAAACCUAAUAUUAUUGUUAGGUGAAAUACUCCAUUUUAAUUUUUAGAAGUGCAAAA
This is an RNA transcript of Sceloporus undulatus (fence lizard), 7191 nucleotides long. It is a transcript of the gene named sterile alpha motif domain-containing protein 9-like, with no coding region annotated. The record is from RefSeq and is a predicted model, not a curated record. NCBI's taxonomy places the organism in Eukaryota, Metazoa, Chordata, Lepidosauria, Squamata, Phrynosomatidae. The transcript has 6 exons.